This 253-nucleotide ribosomal RNA is filed under the name uncultured bacterium. RNAcentral's name for it is "partial 16S ribosomal RNA". It matches the Rfam family "Bacterial small subunit ribosomal RNA", at positions 524 to 776 of the family's 1533-position model. The record is from RNAcentral.
UACAGAGGUCCCAAGCGUUGUUCGGAUUCACUGGGCGUAAAGGGUGCGUAGGUGGUGAGGUAAGUCGGAUGUGAAAGCUCGGAGCUCAACUCCGAAAUGGCAUUGGAAACUACCUUGCUCGAGGGUUGGAGGGGGGACUGGAAUGCUUGGUGUAGCAGUGAAAUUCGUAGAUAUUCGCAAGAACACCAGUGGCGAAGGCGGCUCACUGGCCCGGAACUGACGCUGAGGUGCGAAAGCGUGGGGAGCAAACAGG